UUUCAUAAUUCAUUUUCAGAAAAAAAUAUGUUUUGAUAAAAAGUUUUUUAUAGGUAACUCAAUUUUGAAAAACAAAAUACUUGAUGAAAAUAUCGACCAAAAUUUUGGUUGUUUGCACUGACAUGUUCCUUAUAUUUUUCAAAAUAAUGACGAGAGAGAGAGAAUAGGAAUCAAGCACAGAAGUAUUUCACAAUCAAUAUAUAAUAAGAUAUAGUGCGGUUAAAUUAAUAAAUCAUUGCUUAAAUAUCGUAUGUCCAUUGUGUUUAACAGUUAUUGAAAUAACUUAAAGAAUCCUUCGAAGCACACCCCCGCUUUUGAAUGGUGCUCAACCUUUAGUUUUAAUGUGUAGUGUUUUCUCUUUUCCUCGUACUUCGUUCGAUAAUGGUUUCGACUGUUUUCUUUGACAUAUGGUGUUGAUUGUUCCUUGGGUAUCGUAACCCCUUUUUACCAAUUUUUACAAAUCUGCAUUUAUGAUCAUUAUAUCACAUACCAAAUGUGCUACUCACAAAAAAAAUCUGAUUUUGAAUUAAUACCUUAAUAUAAUAUAAAAAUCUAAACAAUUUUCAUUUUUUUUUUUUUUUUUUUUUUUUUGCUGCAAGCUGCAAGCUGUCAGUUUUAAAACUAAGGGAAAAUGACGAAUCAUCUAAACAAAUAGAGUAAUUUUGAAGAUUAAGGGCUAAUUUGCUUUCAAUACUUUUUAAAAUAUUUUCCUAAAAUAAAAUUAUUAUUUGAAAAUUUUAAGAUUUUAAGUAAAAAUGUUUUCAACUGCAUUUUUUAAAACAUAUUAAAAAAAAGAUUUCCGGUUGGAUCGGUCUAAUGUUUCAAAAAGGGACAACGCAACGUUAAAAAUAGAUGAACCAUAACAUACCAUUUCAAUGUCACCUUAUAUACUUUUUCUUUAUUAAUAAGGUUUCAUAAUUCACACAAACACUUCUUUGUGUAGUCUUAGUAAAAUAUAUAUGUGGCCUAUCAAGAAUAAGAUAUUUAAGUGGGAUGUGUCAUAUAACUUAUCUUGUUUGUGAACGCUUUUCCUGUUUUAUAACAAUUAUUCUAUAAUAAUAAUGUUGUUGGUUUAUUUUUGUAAUUACUUGUUUAUACUUUUAACAAUAUUCCAAAAAUCUUGUGGACGAAUUCAGUGUGACAAUGGAGACACUAUUUCGUUGUCUAUGUUUAAGGACUGUCAAUUUGAAAUACAUAGCAUCUUAGAAAUUAUAUGUAGUUUAUUUUCACCCAAUGCGGAUUUAAAUAUUGAUGGUGCUCUGGUUGGAGAUAGAUUAAAUGCCACAGAAAGACUAAUUUGUGAUUGUUGUAUGAAUGAUUGCAGUUUAACUGAACUUAGGAACUUUUGUUGGUUGCAAAAUACGAAGCUGUGACUUUAUCAUGAAAUUCGAAUUUUAUAUACAAUAUGUUUAAUAAUUUGUUGUAAAUUUCAAUUUUUGUGUUCACUUUCAAUGAUAAGAUAAUUGUGUACUGGUUUUCCAUAAUCGUUAUAUCUAUACAUUUAUUUAUAUGUGACAAUGAAAAUGUAUCAACAAGUGAAACAAAAAUGAGAUAAGAACUAUAUUUUUGUAAUAAAUAUUUUGAUAUUACCAUA
Long non-coding RNA from Mytilus californianus (California mussel), 1594 nucleotides. RefSeq lists it as uncharacterized. The transcript is spliced from 2 exons. The record is from RefSeq and is a predicted model, not a curated record. NCBI's taxonomy places the organism in Eukaryota, Metazoa, Mollusca, Bivalvia, Mytilida, Mytilidae.